UACGUAGGGGGCAAGCGUUGUCCGGAAUCAUUGGGCGUAAAGCGCGUGUAGGCGGCUCGAUAAGUCUGCUGUGAAAGUCCAGGGCUCAACCCUGGAAUGCCGGUGGAUACUGUCGGGCUAGAGUGCGGAAGAGGCGAGUGGAAUUCCUGGUGUAGCGGUGAAAUGCGCAGAUAUCAGGAGGAACACCAAUUGCGAAGGCAGCUCGCUGGGACGUUACUGACGCUGAGACGCGAAAGCGUGGGGAGCAAACAGGAUUAGAAACCCUAGUAGUCC
RNAcentral lists this ribosomal RNA (273 nucleotides) under uncultured bacterium. RNAcentral describes it as "partial 16S ribosomal RNA". It matches the Rfam family "Bacterial small subunit ribosomal RNA", at positions 524 to 796 of the family's 1533-position model. The record is from RNAcentral.